Molecule: long non-coding RNA, 1976 nt
Organism: Artibeus jamaicensis (Jamaican fruit-eating bat)
Lineage: Eukaryota; Metazoa; Chordata; Mammalia; Chiroptera; Phyllostomidae
Exons: 4
Source: RefSeq, a predicted model, not a curated record
AGUGGUGAAUGGGCCUAGAACUGGUGUGGCUGCCUCACUUCUAACCUGGGGAAGAGCCUGCUCUAGGCAGGACAGAGAAGUGGAAAGAACUCGGCUCUCUGAAGACACUAAUAAGCUUCUAAAUUGUUGGUUCUAAACCUUGACUACACAUUUGAAUAACUGGAGAAGCUUUUAACAAUUACUGAGGGCCAGUCCCCACCUCAGAGAUUGAUUCAGUUCUUCUGUGACUGGUAUUUUCUAAGUUCUCCAGGUGAAUUUAAGGUGCAGCCAGGCAAGAGAAGUCCUUUGGACUUAUCUGAGUUAAUAACUUACUAGUUGAAUCACUUUCAGCCAGAAUCUGUUCUGUUCAGCUUAAAAUAAAAAAAGUUCUAAAAAUGACACUCUCUUUGGAAUGAAAUGCAAGGCCUGGCAUUUAAACAGUCUUUAAAUUUAAUUAGUUUAUCUCAGAAAUUUAAACCUAUACUCCUGGCAAAAGAAUUAGGUCUGCUUGUUUAUUUGAGAAAAAGAUCAUGUUCUUAUCCAACCUUCAAACCUGGUUCUGAAGGGCUUCAACAAAGGAAUUUGGUCAUGGAGAUUGAGGGUAGGUGACUGACUACAGACAGUGAGAAGAAAACUAACACCUUAUAGAUCGUUGGCAGUAAGUAGAUAAUAGUUUCACCACUGUUCAGCUGGUUUAUAUUACACUUUGUCUAUAGAUGAAUUUAAGAUUUCUAUAAACGUUAGCAUUAGUACACAAUGGUACCUUGCUGGUUUCAUUCUUAUUUUCUCCAACUUCAUUUUCAAAAGUAUUGUUUUUGAUAUUUUAUGGAACAUAUAUCUACAUCAUGAUGAACGAGUAAGAGGUGCAUGUGGAAUACACAAAUAUGCUUCGAACAAAAGACUGCCUAGGAUUUUGACUGGGAACAUCCUGAAGGCAACUUGAGAUAAUCCCAACUACUUUACACUCUGCCAGAGGAUGCGGAGCAAAAGACCUACAGCAGACACUGCUGACUGCCUACUCAACACCCACCACCACUCCUCAGUCCUAGGAAGCUGCUGGAUAUUCGUAAGGGAGAACAGUGGUUGCAUUGGAUGAGAAAGUCCUCAAAGGGAAACAUUUUGCCGAUGUGGAAGAGAUGAAACAAAAAAUGGCAGAAGCACUAAAAAGGAUCAAAAUGGACAAGUUGCACAACUGUUUUGAGCCAUGGAAAAAAGGUCUCUGUAGCUGUUAUUGCAUCAAGUGGAGAGCACUUCGAAGGUGACUGAAGUUUCAACAUGGUUUAUCUUUAACCACAUGAACUAUCCCUGGAGUGGAAUUUGAGAGGGAGCAGAGCUGACUGCCUGCAUUAAACUGCCAUCUCAAAAUGAAAGUUCCAUUCUGCUCUUCCACAAAGCAGAGGAUCCCGGUUCCUACCCGCUGAAAAGGACCCCAAGAGAGGAGGUAGUGAACCCUUCCCUUCAGAGAGCAAAGUAUGCUGUAUGCUUGGCAGAUGAAGUGGCUCAAGCACCAUGAAGCUGAGCGUCUGACCCAGUGCCAUGAGAUACCGUGUUGUUACCUAUUCUAAGUAGCAUAAAUGAUUGUCCCUCAAAAGUUCAAAUUUUUCCCCCUAAUUUAGGACUAUGUCAGCAACAGCUAGGUCCUUUCUUGUAAGACCUUAAAUUUCUGCCUUCUUCCAAUGGACAGAUGAAUUCUUUAUUUUAUUUUAUUUAUUUUUAGAGAGAGAGAGGAAGGGAAGGAGAAAGAGUGGGAAAGAAACAUCAGUAUGUGGCUGCCUCUCUUGCGUCCCCCACGGGGGACCUGGCCUGCAACCCAGGCAUGUGCCCUGACUGGGAAUCAAACCAGCAACCCUUUGCUUCACAGGCCCGCGCCCAAUCUACUGAGCCACACCAGCCAGGGCUGCACAGAUGAAUUCUUCAUAGUAGAACAUUGUGUUACACCAGCUAUAAAGUGUGGCUAAAUGUUUUAUUUAUUGUGAUUUGGCUUAAAAAAUUUCAGA